This 802-nucleotide ribosomal RNA is filed under the name Microbacterium esteraromaticum. Its description in RNAcentral is "bacterial SSU rRNA". It matches the Rfam family "Bacterial small subunit ribosomal RNA", at positions 68 to 879 of the family's 1533-position model. The record is from RNAcentral. Lineage: Bacteria; Bacillati; Actinomycetota; Actinomycetes; Micrococcales; Microbacteriaceae.
GAAACCAGGUGCUUGCACUUGGGGAUUAGUGGCGAACGGGUGAGUAACACGUGAGCAACCUGCCCCUGACUCUGGGAUAAGCGCUGGAAACGGCGUCUAAUACUGGAUAUGUCCCGUCACCGCAUGGUGUGCGGGUGGAAAGAUUUUUCGGUUGGGGAUGGGCUCGCGGCCUAUCAGCUUGUUGGUGAGGUAAUGGCUCACCAAGGCGUCGACGGGUAGCCGGCCUGAGAGGGUGACCGGCCACACUGGGACUGAGACACGGCCCAGACUCCUACGGGAGGCAGCAGUGGGGAAUAUUGCACAAUGGGCGAAAGCCUGAUGCAGCAACGCCGCGUGAGGGAUGACGGCCUUCGGGUUGUAAACCUCUUUUAGCAGGGAAGAAGCGAGAGUGACGGUACCUGCAGAAAAAGCACCGGCUAACUACGUGCCAGCAGCCGCGGUAAUACGUAGGGUGCAAGCGUUAUCCGGAAUUAUUGGGCGUAAAGAGCUCGUAGGCGGUCUGUCGCGUCUGCUGUGAAAUCCCGAGGCUCAACCUCGGGCUUGCAGUGGGUACGGGCAGACUAGAGUGCGGUAGGGGAGAUUGGAAUUCCUGGUGUAGCGGUGGAAUGCGCAGAUAUCAGGAGGAACACCGAUGGCGAAGCAGAUCUCUGGGCCGUAACUGACGCUGAGGAGCGAAAGGGUGGGGAGCAAACAGGCUUAGAUACCCUGGUAGUCCACCCCGUAAACGUUGGGAACUAGUUGUGGGGUCCUUUCCACGGAUUCCGUGACCGCAGCUUACCGCAUUAAGUUCCCCGCCUGGGGA